RNAcentral lists this unclassified non-coding RNA (223 nucleotides) under Hevea brasiliensis (rubber tree). Lineage: Eukaryota; Viridiplantae; Streptophyta; Magnoliopsida; Malpighiales; Euphorbiaceae. The record is from RNAcentral.
UCCCGGUGAAUCACAGGAGGAACUGCCCCAUCAUGAAGAUACUCCAAACCCCUUGCUACAUCUAAGGCAAUAUAAACCCUCAAAUCCCAGCUCAAUGGUUCAUGGCUUUCACUGUACAAAUGAGAAGCCAAGCAGCCUUUACUCAUAUAGACAUAUACAAGCAUAUGUUGGCCCUUUUCUGCACAAUAUCCAACCAAAUUCACCAGGUUUCUAUGAUGCAACC